CCCUUGUCCCUAGUUGCUACGCAAGAGCACUCUAGGGAGACUGCCGGUGACAAACCGGAGGAAGGUGGGGAUGACGUCAAGUCCUCAUGGCCCUUAUGGGUAGGGCUUCACACGUCAUACAAUGGUCGGAACAGAGGGUUGCCAAGCCGCGAGGUGGAGCCAAUCCCAGAAAACCGAUCGUAGUCCGGAUCGCAGUCUGCAACUCGACUGCGUGAAGCUGGAAUCGCUAGUAAUCGCGGAUCAGCAUGCCGCGGUGAAUACGUUCCCGGGUCUU
This 274-nucleotide ribosomal RNA is filed under the name uncultured bacterium. Its description in RNAcentral is "partial 16S ribosomal RNA". It matches the Rfam family "Bacterial small subunit ribosomal RNA", at positions 1102 to 1382 of the family's 1533-position model. The record is from RNAcentral.